CCUACGGGAGGCAGCAGUGAGGAAUAUUGGUCAAUGGCCGUAGGGCUGAACCAGCCAAGUCGCGUGAAGGAAGAAGGAUCUAUGGUUUGUAAACUUCUUUUAUAGGGGAAUAAUAGUAUCCACGUGUGGAUAUUUGCAUGUACCCUAUGAAUAAGCAUCGGCUAACUCCGUGCCAGCAGCCGCGGUAAUACGGAGGAUGCGAGCGUUAUCCGGAUUUAUUGGGUUUAAAGGGUGCGUAGGUUGUUUUUUAAGUUAGCGGUGAAAGUGUGGGGCUCAAACAUAAAAUUGCCGUUGAAACUGGAGUACUUGAGUAUGUUUGAGGUAGGCGGAAUGCGUGAAGUAGCGGUGAAAUGCUUAGAUAUAACGUAGAACCCCGAUAGCGAAGGCAGCUUACUAGGCCAUAACUGACGCUGAAGCACGAGAGCGUGGGGAGCGAACAGGAUUAGAUACCCGUGUAGUC
RNAcentral lists this ribosomal RNA (460 nucleotides) under uncultured bacterium. Its description in RNAcentral is "partial 16S ribosomal RNA". It matches the Rfam family "Bacterial small subunit ribosomal RNA", at positions 338 to 795 of the family's 1533-position model. The record is from RNAcentral.